This 253-nucleotide ribosomal RNA is filed under the name uncultured bacterium. RNAcentral's name for it is "partial 16S ribosomal RNA". It matches the Rfam family "Bacterial small subunit ribosomal RNA", at positions 524 to 776 of the family's 1533-position model. The record is from RNAcentral.
UACGGGGGGGGCAAGCGUUGUUCGGAAUUACUGGGCGUAAAGGGCUCGUAGGCGGAUCGUUAAGUCGGGGGUGAAAUCCUGGAGCUCAACUCCAGAACUGCCUUCGAUACUGGCGAUCUUGAGUCCGGAAGAGGUGAGUGGAACUCCUAGUGUAGAGGUGGAAUUCGUAGAUAUUCGCAAGAACACCAGUGGCGAAGGCGGCUCACUGGCCCGAUACUGACGCUGAGGUGCGAAAGCGUGGGGAGCAAACAGG